GACGAACGCUGGCGGCGUGCUUAACACAUGCAAGUCGAACGGAAAGACCCUGCUUUUGUGGGGUGCUCGAGUGGCGAACGGGUGAGUAACACGUGAGUAACCUGCCCUUGACUUUGGGAUAACUUCAGGAAACUGGGGCUAAUACCGGAUAGGAGCUCCUGCUGCAUGGUGGGGGUUGGAAAGUUUCGGCGGUUGGGGAUGGACUCGCGGCUUAUCAGCUUGUUGGUGGGGUAGUGGCUUACCAAGGCUUUGACGGGUAGCCGGCCUGAGAGGGUGACCGGCCACAUUGGGACUGAGAGACGGCCCAGACUCCUACGGGAGGCAGCAGUGGGGAAUAUUGCACAAUGGGCGGAAGCCUGAUGCAGCAACGCCGCGUGCGGGAUGACGGCCUUCGGGUUGUAAACCGCUUUCGCCUGUGACGAAGCGUGAGUGACGGUAAUGGGUAAAGAAGCACCGGCUAACUACGUG
RNAcentral lists this ribosomal RNA (468 nucleotides) under uncultured bacterium. Its description in RNAcentral is "partial 16S ribosomal RNA". It matches the Rfam family "Bacterial small subunit ribosomal RNA", at positions 28 to 507 of the family's 1533-position model. The record is from RNAcentral.